UUUGCUACGGCCACCAAGAUCU
RNAcentral lists this microRNA (22 nucleotides) under Branchiostoma floridae (Florida lancelet). RNAcentral's name for it is "bfl-miR-4057". The record is from miRBase by way of RNAcentral. Lineage: Eukaryota; Metazoa; Chordata; Leptocardii; Amphioxiformes; Branchiostomatidae. RNAcentral also lists the same sequence under 2 other names.